This 253-nucleotide ribosomal RNA is filed under the name uncultured bacterium. RNAcentral describes it as "partial 16S ribosomal RNA". It matches the Rfam family "Bacterial small subunit ribosomal RNA", at positions 524 to 776 of the family's 1533-position model. The record is from RNAcentral.
UACGUAGGGUGCGAGCGUUAAUCGGAAUUACUGGGCGUAAAGGGUGCGCAGGCGGCGUCGCAAGUCAGGCGUGAAAUCCCCGGGCUUAACCUGGGAACUGCACUUGAAACUACGAUGCUGGAGUAUGGCAGAGGGAGGUAGAAUUCCACGUGUAGCGGUGAAAUGCGUAGAGAUGUGGAGGAACACCGAUGGCGAAGGCAGCCUCCUGGGCCAAUACUGACGCUCAUGCACGAAAGCGUGGGGAGCAAACAGG